RNAcentral lists this ribosomal RNA (258 nucleotides) under uncultured bacterium. RNAcentral's name for it is "partial 16S ribosomal RNA". It matches the Rfam family "Bacterial small subunit ribosomal RNA", at positions 524 to 776 of the family's 1533-position model. The record is from RNAcentral.
UACGUAGGGGGCGAGCGUUGUCCGAAAGUUACUGGGCGUAAAGCGCACGUAGGCGGCCCUGUAAGUUACAUCUGAAAGGUGACAGCUCAACUGUCAAUGGUGGUGUAAGACUGCAGGAGCUUGAGGUGAGCAAAAGAAUGUGGAACUCCGAGUGUAGCGGUGGAAUGCGUAGAGAUUCGGAAGAACACCCAUGGCGAAGGCAGCAUUCUGGGCUCGAACCUGAACGCUGAGGAGCGAAAGCCAGGGGAGCCGAACGGG